GAUGAACGCUGGCGGCGUGCCUAAUACAUGCAAGUCGAGCGAACGGACGAGAAGCUUGCUUCUCUGAUGUUAGCGGCGGACGGGUGAGUAACACGUGGAUAACCUACCUAUAAGACUGGGAUAACUUCGGGAAACCGUAGCUAAUACCGGAUAAUAUUUUGAACCGCAUGGUUCAAAAGUGAAAGACGGUCUUGCUGUCACUUAUAGAUGGAUCCGCGCUGCAUUAGCUAGUUGGUAAGGUAACGGCUUACCAAGGCAACGAUGCAUAGCCGACCUGAGAGGGGGAUCGGCCACACUGGAACUGAGACGCGGUCCAGACUCCUACGGGAGGCAGCAGUAGGGAAUCUUCCGCAAUGGGCGAAAGCCUGACGGAGCAACGCCGCGUGAGUGAUGAAGGUCUUCGGAUCGUAAAACUCUGUUAUUAGGGAAGAACAUAUGUGGAAGUAACUGUGCACAUCUUGACGGUACCUAAUCAGAAAGCCACGGCUAACUACGUG
This 497-nucleotide ribosomal RNA is filed under the name uncultured bacterium. Its description in RNAcentral is "partial 16S ribosomal RNA". It matches the Rfam family "Bacterial small subunit ribosomal RNA", at positions 28 to 507 of the family's 1533-position model. The record is from RNAcentral.